GCCAAUGUGGCACAGUGGUUUGAGUAUUGGACUAUGCCUUUGGAGACCAGGGUUUGAUUCCCUGUUCAGCCA
Molecule: transfer RNA, 72 nt
Filed under: Phrynosoma platyrhinos (Desert horned lizard)
Lineage: Eukaryota; Metazoa; Chordata; Lepidosauria; Squamata; Phrynosomatidae
Description: tRNA-OTHER
Source: RNAcentral